GGGGUUGUGGCUCAGCGGUAGAGUGCCCACCUAUAAUGUGUGAGGCACCAGAUUCGAUCCUCAGCACUA
Molecule: transfer RNA, 69 nt
Filed under: Marmota monax (woodchuck)
Lineage: Eukaryota; Metazoa; Chordata; Mammalia; Rodentia; Sciuridae
Description: tRNA.Tyr
Source: RNAcentral